Molecule: non-coding RNA, 30 nt
Filed under: Mus musculus (house mouse)
Lineage: Eukaryota; Metazoa; Chordata; Mammalia; Rodentia; Muridae
Source: RNAcentral
UAAGGUUUUCAUUACAAACAUGUUGGAGAG